Non-coding RNA from Phrynosoma platyrhinos (Desert horned lizard), 71 nucleotides. NCBI's taxonomy places the organism in Eukaryota, Metazoa, Chordata, Lepidosauria, Squamata, Phrynosomatidae. The record is from the annotation of a GenBank genome assembly.
GCCAGCAUGGUUUAGUGGUUUGAGAGCAGGACUUGGACUCUGGAGAUCUGGGUUCAAUCCCCCCCUUGGCC